UUCUCCUUGAUGGAACUUCUGUUUUUGUUUCUCUAUCAUCUAGCCUUUACUUAUCCAGGUCAGGUUGUUCUACAAUGGUUGUGCUGUGAAGGGUACCUUGCUUGUCAAUAAAAAGGUCAGUCAUCAUCCAAUGAUUGUUGCAUGCCACCGUGAAGGUAGAGGACGGAAAUUUUGGGAAGACCGUAAUCUGAAAAGCAAAUUUUGGGGUCGUUCAAUCCAGCUUGAUCCUGUUGGUUUUCUAACUCUCGAGUUUGAUGAUGGUGAAGUUUUUCAGUGGAGCAAGGUCACAACUUUUGUGUUCCACCAAUCGCCAAAACUUGGACUGUUCCCUUUCAGGAGAUAAUUGAUAUGGAUGAUGGAAUAUAUGAAGAAGCUGUUGUAGGAAGUGACUUUGUCAUUACUAGAGUUGCAUUUCGAGACAACUCUUCAAAGUACUACAUAAAUGACUGUGGAAGUAAUUUUACAGAGGUCACUAAGAAAUUGAAAGGAAAAGGAGUGGACUUGGACAAUUGUAAUUUUAGCAUUAUUGUAAUUGUAAUUGUAAUUGAAU
Long non-coding RNA from Magnolia sinica, 550 nucleotides. RefSeq lists it as uncharacterized. NCBI's taxonomy places the organism in Eukaryota, Viridiplantae, Streptophyta, Magnoliopsida, Magnoliales, Magnoliaceae. The transcript is spliced from 4 exons. The record is from RefSeq and is a predicted model, not a curated record.